Non-coding RNA from Oncorhynchus mykiss (rainbow trout), 465 nucleotides. NCBI's taxonomy places the organism in Eukaryota, Metazoa, Chordata, Actinopteri, Salmoniformes, Salmonidae. The record is from RefSeq and is a predicted model, not a curated record.
AUACUUUCGCAAGGCACUGUACCAUUUGUAGUGAACUAGCUCUCCGUCGAUCUGAAGCAAGGAUGGUUCUUUGCUAUGUAGCGGAUUGUAACCACUACUCCAAUAAGCACACACGCAUGUUAUCAUUUUCCGACCUCUGUAAUCGAGAGGCGUCGCUGGAGCCGUGUGAUAAGGUACAGGCAGGGAUGACUGGGGACUUCAGGAGGUACUGUCAGGAGGCAAGACGAGAACGCUGAUCCAGUGCACUCAGGAUCCCAGACCCUGUGACUUAAAGCCCUGACCACUGCACAUCCUUCACUGUAGCCAUUUUUAAUGCCUUGAUGUCCUUAUUGUUAUCUGUGCCCCACUUUACUGACAACACUCCAUCCAAAGACUGUAAACGCCUUGAAAUGCAUUCGUUCUAAGAAAUGUGCUAUAUAAAUAAAGUUUGAUUUGAUUGAUGACAUUACAGCUAUAGAAUAUUUA